This 221-nucleotide unclassified non-coding RNA is filed under the name Hevea brasiliensis (rubber tree). Lineage: Eukaryota; Viridiplantae; Streptophyta; Magnoliopsida; Malpighiales; Euphorbiaceae. The record is from RNAcentral.
AACAAAUAAUUAAAUAAUAAAAAAUAAUAGUGGGGUAAAUUAAAAGGUCAGAAUGUAUUAAUAUAAAAUGUUAGAAUUUGACAACUAUUAUUAGAGAAGUAUAUUAAAAAAAACAAGAAAAAACUAAGCAAGAGAGAGAGGGAAAAGAAUCGCUAGUGGAAGAAAAAUAGCUAAGAUUUUAUAUGCACUUUUCACAAUAAAAAAUGAAGUGAAAUAUUAAA